GCCUGAUGGAGGGGGAUAACUACUGGAAACGGUGGCUAAUACCGCAUAACGUCGCAAGACCAAAGAGGGGGACCUUCGGGCCUCUUGCCAUCAGAUGUGCCCAGAUGGGAUUAGCUUGUUGGUGAGGUAACGGCUCACCAAGGCGACGAUCCCUAGCUGGUCUGAGAGGAUGACCAGCCACACUGGAACUGAGACACGGUCCAGACUCCUACGGGAGGCAGCAGUGGGGAAUAUUGCACAAUGGGCGCAAGCCUGAUGCAGCCAUGCCGCGUGUAUGAAGAAGGCCUUCGGGUUGUAAAGUACUUUCAGCGGGGAGGAAGGUGUUGUGGUUAAUAACCGCAGCAAUUGACGUUACCCGCAGAAGAAGCACCGGCUAACUCCGUGCCAGCAGCCGCGGUAAUACGGAGGGUGCAAGCGUUAAUCGGAAUUACUGGGCGUAAAGCGCACGCAGGCGGUCUGUCAAGUCGGAUGUGAAAUCCCCGGGCUCAACCUGGGAACUGCAUUCGAAACUGGCAGGCUUGAGUCUUGUAGAGGGGGGUAGAAUUCCAGGUGUAGCGGUGAAAUGCGUAGAGAUCUGGAGGAAUACCGGUGGCGAAGGCGGCCCCCUGGACAAAGACUGACGCUCAGGUGCGAAAGCGUGGGGAGCAAACAGGAUUAGAUACCCUGGUAGUCCACGCCGUAAACGAUGUCUACUUGGAGGUUGUGCCCUUGAGGCGUGGCUUCCGGAGCUAACGCGUUAAGUAGACCGCCUGGGGAGUACGGCCGCAAGGUUAAAACUCAAAUGAAUUGACGGGGGCCCGCACAAGCGGUGGAGCAUGUGGUUUAAUUCGAUGCAACGCGAAGAACCUUACCUGGUCUUGACAUCCACAGAACUUUCCAGAGAUGGAUUGGUGCCUUCGGGAACUGUGAGACAGGUGCUGCAUGGCUGUCGUCAGCUCGUGUUGUGAAAUGUUGGGUUAAGUCCCGCAACGAGCGCAACCCUUAUC
RNAcentral lists this ribosomal RNA (986 nucleotides) under Salmonella enterica subsp. enterica serovar Typhi. Its description in RNAcentral is "bacterial SSU rRNA". It matches the Rfam family "Bacterial small subunit ribosomal RNA", at positions 128 to 1109 of the family's 1533-position model. The record is from RNAcentral. Lineage: Bacteria; Pseudomonadati; Pseudomonadota; Gammaproteobacteria; Enterobacterales; Enterobacteriaceae.